UGGAACUUGAACUAACCGAGCCUAUGGAGGAUUCUAAAAAUGAAGAAGAAAGCAUUUUUAUUUUGAAGUUUGUUGUGCCAAGAAGACAAAAUGACAUUCCUCACUUAAAGGCCAAAAAGUGCAAAAUGCGAUACUCGAGAGUUGCCCUAUUAGCUGUCCCACCAUCGCCUCGCGAGCAUCACCGGAAUCUUGAUUCAAAGUUGGGGCGCAAAUUCAUAUCUUCCAAAUGGAAAGAAAAGUUAUAAAGUGCCGCGACGUUAAAUUAAGCGCUUGGUGGGAGGCAACCCAUCGUUUUUAAAAUUCUAAGUCAUUUUUGAAAUUUUAUUUUUUAGGAUAGUUUAUUUUAUUAUUUUUGAUCAUUCUAUCAAGUUUCAUAAUUUUUGGAAUUGAUUUGGACCAACUUGGGAUGUUGGAGUGGCACACAGUGCCAAAAAAAAAUGCAUAAAAACUGUUGUAGGAUGAGUUCUUGAUAUUUCAAUUUUGGGCUCAGCAGCGACAAAACGCGGACCACUCUUGGGGUUUUUUUUUUUUUUUUUUUUUUUUUUUUUGUUCUUGUUAUGUUCUUAAUAUACCCCAGGGUAAGUGAUUAAAAUCUUUUUUUUUUUUUCAAAAACAAAAGCACAAGGUCCCUCUCUGUUUUCGUUUCCUUCUGGACACCACACAGCAACUCCCAAAAAUUAGCUAUUGAUAAUAUGAGACUUUUAGUGUGGUACACGGCAACAUACAACAACACAUCAGCACACACACAACAAGUCCCAUAUUUUAACUCUCACACACCGCAACUCCCGUCCCGAACCUCUGCUUCUCACGCAGCUGCUCACACCAACGUUACUACCAAUUGGGUUACUGCUGCUGAUAUCCCUGUAACGAUCCAAGGUACUUUGUGACACAAAAUGGCAUCAAGUUAACAUGGAACAACUCAAGGAGAAGUGGAAGAUUUUCCCACUUAAAUGCACUAGCUCAACAACAUCAUCUUUUCAGGGAGUUUGUCUUAACUUUUGCUUUAAUUAUAUAGUUACAUUGAGAACAAUGUAACAUUUUAAGUUGGGGGAGGCUUUAUUUUGAUAGAUACUUUUGUGAUGGGAUAUGAUAUGUCAUGAUGGAUGAUAAUUUGGUAGAUUGAUUUUAUUUUGGUAUUUUAUUAAUGACAUUUAUAUUAGUAUAUAUAUUUUUUUUCUUUUAAUUAUUAUUUUCUUUUAUUUUUAUUACUAGCUUCUUUAGUUUCUUGUUGUUUAGUUGUAGGAAUGGUGUUGGGAUGUGAUUUUUUUCCCUUGGCCAAUUUUUUGCUUGCUUGGUACCAACACAUUUAAACCUUGGCAUAUGAAUUUUUGAAUUUUGAAAAAGAAAAAAAGAUUGAAGUGAGGAUUCUUGUUGUGACUUUUAGACUCAAUUUUUGGUUCUUAUUUUCACUAAUUAGUCUCUUUAGGCUAUGAGUGGCUUUUGGAGUUCAUUUGUUUCAAUUGGGUUUUCAUGUGCCAUGUGUGGUGAAGUUUUCACGGGUUCUUUUUCAUUAUUCGUAGUCUAGAACUUGCCGGGAAUAAGUUUCAAGGUGAAAUCCUAGACUACACUUGGUUUGGAAAAUGAUGUUAGGCCUUACUUGGAACCUUUUUGUGCCUUAAAUUUUCUACCCUUGCAUAUUUUUCCUAGUCAACCCUUUUUGAGCCUUUAACCUUUUCUUUGAUAACCAUGUUACAUUCUUUACUCUGUUCGUCAUUGAUCCAUCUUUUGGUACCCUACCUCCUUAAUGCGUUGAAAGUGCAAACAUAGGCUAAAAGCCUAAGUUUGGGGGUGAUGGUUGGUAAAGUGUGAUGUGGAAGUUGCUUGAAAGGUGAAAAUGAAAAAAAGAAAUAGUGGUCUUCCUUGAAAUUUUGAAAAAAAAAAAAAAGAACAAACAACAACAAAAAGAAUGAAGAAAAAUGAAGGAUGAAUAAAGAGUUGUGAAUAAUGGAAAGACUAGAUGGUGAAAUGAAAAGAUGAAGAAAAUGGUAGAAAAGUUUUAAAGGAAGUGUGCUUUGAUUAUUGAAAAUUGUAGUGUUUAGGGAGAUUUUUGAUUCACCAUUUCAAAUUAUGCCCCUACCUUAACCAAAAGCCUACAUUACAACCCUUUAAGUCCUAAUAGAUUUUGAACCAAGUGUGUCUACAUUAGUGGAGAAAUAUAUGAAGGACAAACUUAUGGUACUACUUGUGUGCAUUUGAACAUCUUUGUGUGUGUGUGUGUGUGUGUGAGAGAGAGAGAGAGAGAGAGCUAAUUCUUUCCAUUUGAUAUCCCAUUUUUGUUUUAAAUUGCACUUUGUGAGUUGGGAUUAUCUCUUAAUUGUGAGGGCACGUGAGAACUUGAAUUGUGAAUUUGUUCCAAAUUUCAAUUUAGAGGAAUGAACAAAAGAAUGUUGUUUUUUGAUAAAGAGGCAACUUUUGAAGCUUUAGUGUCAUGACUUGAUUGCUACUUUGAUUAGUUUGGUAUUUGCACACUUGAAAAAAAAAAAAGAGUUUUUGAGAAGUUGGUGAUUCAUAUGUUUUGGAUUAAUUGUUAGUGCCAAUCAAAUUCAUGUUUUUGUGCUUAAAGUAGAUCUUUUUGACUUUGUAUAAUAUUGGUGAACUAUUGAGUUGAGUCCAUGGAAGGGAAUUGUAAGUUUUGAUUUGCUUGAGGACAAGCAAUAGUUUAAGUUUGGAGUUUGAUAAGUUGGUAUUUUUCAACUUAUUUCUUCUUUAAUCUUAGAUUGUUGUUAUGUUUUAAUUGAAAAUUAGUGCAUUUAAUGUCGUUUACUUCAAUUUUAUAGGUCUAUAUGAUUGAGAAGUGAUCAUGAAGAAAUCAAACGAAAAACAAGUCAAAAAGAGGUCAAAGUAAAGAAAAUGACAAAAAUGGCUAAAACUGCCAAAACAGGACAGAUUUGCAAAUCUGAAAAUAUGGGCUGUUUUGGUCGAAUUUUGAUGUGGAAAUAUUGGGGAGCUAUAAAAGCAACACUUGAAGGAAAAUAUCAUGAUCUUUGGCACAAAGCACAAUUCUUGGAGGCUAGGGUUCUACACCACACUUUGGAAUUGAAGAUUUGAAGAUUUGGGUUGAGAACUUUCUUAAACUUUUCUCCAUUUCUCUGAUUCUUUGCUUUGUAAUGAAUAUCUAAGUAUGUAGUAUUUAUUUUCUUCACUUCAAUCUUGAUUAUGAAAAUAUUCUAUGAUUAAAGCGUUGGACGAAACUCUUGUUUUGCUUAUAUAUUAAAUGACAUUUAUUGCUAA
Molecule: long non-coding RNA, 3231 nt
Organism: Lycium barbarum (goji berry)
Lineage: Eukaryota; Viridiplantae; Streptophyta; Magnoliopsida; Solanales; Solanaceae
Exons: 2
Source: RefSeq, a predicted model, not a curated record